AAAAAACAAUGUUUGCCACUUCUUUAUUUUAUUGAUGCAUUUAUGUCUUUAUUGUUGAUGUCAAAAAUUUAUCGAUCAGCGGUUGCAUUGAAAAUUUAGCUUGAAGUUAUAUAUAUAUUGAUAUACUUGUGGUACAAUUAUGAACCCCCUCCAU
RNAcentral lists this microRNA precursor (154 nucleotides) under Oryza sativa (Asian cultivated rice). Its description in RNAcentral is "miR2931 stem-loop (osa-MIR2931)". Lineage: Eukaryota; Viridiplantae; Streptophyta; Magnoliopsida; Poales; Poaceae. The record is from miRBase by way of RNAcentral.